Molecule: RNA transcript, 3446 nt
Organism: Cicer arietinum (chickpea)
Lineage: Eukaryota; Viridiplantae; Streptophyta; Magnoliopsida; Fabales; Fabaceae
Gene name: pentatricopeptide repeat-containing protein At2g15820, chloroplastic
Source: RefSeq, a predicted model, not a curated record
CAUUUACGGGCUGAAACGAGAAAGCCCAACGACAUCCAAGUGGAGCUAAGAAGCCCAACAGCAAACAACAAUGGUGCCUCCCAAUCCCUCGUUGCUAGCUAAGCUUGAAAGAAGUAAAAGUGGAGAACACGAAACGGAACAUGGUGGUGAGAGUGAGAGGGGUAGACCAACUUCCAGUUUCAUUUUCAGUUUCAGUUAACUCUUGCUCAAACCCUAACUUCCAUUCAAACUCACUCUUCUUCUUCUCCUCUUCUUCAAUGCGUUCUACGUUCACACUAUUUCGCAGUCUCACGCUCUCCACUCUCCACUCACCCCGAACACUCCCUUCACCGCUCCUCCCACGCCAGUUCCCGUGCCUCUGCGUUCGCGCCGAGCAGUUGGUUCUCCACGAAGAGCUUCCGGAAAACGACAUUUUCCGUUUCGACCGGUAUUUGGCGGUGGAAGCGGAGGCUGAUGAGAAGCGGCUGCCGCGUCCGGAAGUUGAGGUGAUGGAGUUGAAUGAGGUUCCGGAGCUUUGGCGGAGGUCGAGAGUGGCGUGGCUGUGCAAGGAACUGCCGGCACACAACGCGGGAACUCUGAUUAGGAUUCUGAAUGCGCAGAGGAAGUGGUUGAGGCAGGAUGACGCCACAUAUCUCAUUAUGCAUUGCUUACGUAUUCGAGAGAACGAAACUGCGUUUAGGGUAUACAAAUGGAUGAUGCAACGGAGUUGGUAUCGAUUUGAUUUUGCUCUUGCUACCAGGCUAGCAGAUUACAUGGGCAAAGAGCGGAAGUUUUCAAAGUGCCGUGAGGUAUUUGAUGAUAUUAUCAAUCAAGGCCGUGUUCCCAGUGAGUCAACGUUCCAUAUAUUGAUUGUGGCUUACCUUAGUUCUCCCGUUCAAGGUUGUUUGGAUGAAGCAUGUGGCAUUUUCCACCGAAUGAUUCAGUUGGGUGGAUAUCAACCUCGUCUUAGCUUGCAUAAUUCCCUCUUCAAAGCUCUUUUAAGCAAACCAGGGAUCUUUUCAAAGCAGUACCUUAAGCAAGCUGAGUUUAUAUAUCACCGUUUGGUUACAACUGGACUUGAUGUACAUAAAGAUAUUUAUGGUGGCCUAAUUUGGCUGCAUAGCUAUCAGGAUUCCAUAGACAAAGAAAGAAUAGGUGCAUUGAGGGAAGAGAUGCUACAUGCUGGAAUUGAUGAAAGCGAAGAAGUGCUGGUAUCAAUCUUGAGGGCUUGUGCAAGGGAGGGGGAGGUGGAGGAAGCAGAGAACGCAUGGUCCAAACUUUUGCAGUUCAAAAGCAGCCCCCCGUCACAUGCUUUUGUGUACAAAAUGGAAGUAUACUCUAAGGUUGGUAUGCCUAUGAAGUCCUUGGAGAUAUUUAGGGAAAUGCAGUUCAAACUAGGUAAGACAAGUGUUGCAGCAUAUAAUAAAAUAAUAGAGAUACUUUGCAAAGCACAAGAAUCCGAAUUUGCAGAAUCAAUCAUGACCGAUUUUGUCAAGAGUGGUCUGAAGCCAUUUACACCAUUAUAUGUUUAUAUGCUAAACAUGUACUUCAAUUUGGAAUCACAUGAUAAAUUGGAAGAGGCAUUCUCUCAAUGCAUGGAGAAAUGUCGUCCAAAUAGUGUCAUAUACAGUAUAUAUUUGGAUUCUUUGGUGAAAGUCGGUAAUCUUGACAAGGCUGAGGAUAUCUUUAGCCAAAUGUUUCGUGAAGCGACUAUUGGUGUCAAUGCCCGAUCAUGUAACACCAUCUUACGUGGAUACCUAUAUUCGGGAAAUCACUUAAAGGCGGAGAAGAUCUACGACUUAAUGUGCCAAAAGAAGUAUGAAAUUGAUGCCCCAUUAAUGGAAAAGCUGGACUAUAUCUUGAGCUUGAGAAGGAAAGAUAUUAAAAAACCAAUGAGCCUGAAGCUAAACAAAGAACAGAGAGAAAUACUAAUUGGGAUGCUUUUAGGUGGUUUGCAUAUUGAUUCUGAUGACCAAAGGAAGAACCACAUUAUCCGUUUUAAUUUUGAUGGCAAUUCUGCCAACCAUUAUACCUUGAAGAGUCAUAUAUAUCACCAGUUUGUUGAGUGGCUACAUCCUACUUUUAAGCCACGUGAUGACAGUGAGAACAUACCAGAUAAUUUUUGCACCAUUGCAAGCUCUUAUUUUGGCUUUUACGCCGAUCAGUUUUGGUCAAAAGGUCAACCUACAAUUCCAAAACUUGUUCAUAGGUGGUUGUCCCCAUGUGUUCUUGCAUACUGGUACAUGUAUGGAGGCCAUCAAAAUUCAUCGGGGGAUGUUUUGCUAAAGAUUAAGGGAAGUCGUGAGGGUGUUGAGAAUAUUGUCAAAAAGUUCAAAGCCAUGUCCAUGGAUUGUAAAGUCAAGAGAAAGGGAAAGGUAUUCUGGAUUGGUAUUCUGGGAAGCAAUACGACUUGGUUCUGGAAAUUGGUUGAGCCAUAUAUUCUAGAAGAUGUAAGAGAUUUCACUAAGGCACGUGAGAAUAUGAUGGGGCAGGAUUUAAUGGAAACUCUAGACAUUAACUUCAAUAGUGAAUCAGACGAAUGAAAAAGGGGAUACUGCAUUGAUGAAUGAUGAUCAUGUUUGCCUGACUAGGUUAUGCUUUUACCCUGGUGGUUAGAAGCUGAAAACAUCUGACCCUGUCUAAUAAUGGAAUAAGGCUUGAUUGUUGUAGUGGAAUUCAUAAUCUUCUUUGAGUUUUACAAGGGAUUAUUGGUGAUCUUUUUGUUUGUCUUGGGUUUUGGUUGGCUUUUGAUUUGUUUGAUGAUUAUCCCACAUAUAUGAUGAACAAGGUCCUUGGCUGUAGGAAUUGCUAUGAUUCUUGGAUAAGAGAAUUCUGAUGUUCUGUAUCUUUUAUUGGAUCUUAUGAAGAUCGUAGAUGUUUUUAUAUCUACUGGAAAGAUAGUCAGAAGUGUGGAAAUUCUCCUGCACAAUGGGUCUAGAGAUUAAUGUUCUAGGUCAGGUUCUGUAUCAGUAGCACUGCAUUGGGAAUACUGUAGAGAGCGAGACAUGCUUUUGUAGGGUUUUUUUUGAAAUAUUUUGCAAAUAUGCUGGGACUUAGUAUUCAUGAAGCUAAUUUGGUGGGCCAUGCCUAUGAUAGCCUAUCUUGUCUAUAAAUAGAACUAUGUGAGGGGGGGAAAUUGGUACAUGGAAGAAGAAAACAUGGUACAUUUGUUCUGGAGGUUCCAAGUUCCAACUACUUCUAAGAAAUUCACUGUAGUAUCUGCUUCGUCCAAUUCCAACGGGACUCUCCUUGUGGUUCUGAAGCAAUUUUGGUGGCGCUGGAGAUCCAGUCAUGCUGCAGCUUCCUCUAGAUAAGAAAACAUGUGAUAAGGUAGAGAGGAAAUGAUUCAAACAAAGUUCAAGAACUCGUGGAUAAUAUCAGUCAAAUUGGUCUUCAAUUGCUUGCAAGCACUUUCUCCUUUUUGCAACUAUAUAAAAUUAUGCUCCAUUGCGGGAAGAUGUUGAACA